CUACGGGCGGCACCAGUGAGGAAUUUUGCGCAAUGGGCGAAAGCCUGACGCAGCAACGCCGCGUGAGUGAUGAAGGCCUUCGGGUCGUAAAGCUCUGUCAAGUGGGAAGAACCUAUGUAAUGUUAAUAUCAUUAUAUACUGACGGUACCACUGAAGGAAGCACCGGCUAACUCCGUGCCAGCAGCCGCGGUAAUACGGGGGGUGCAAGCGUUAUUCGGAAUCAUUGGGCGUAAAGGGCACGUAGGCGGCCUGGUAAGUCAGAUGUGAAAGCCCGGGGCUUAACCCCGGAAGUGCAUUUGAGACUGUCAGGCUUGAGUAUGGGAGAGGGAAGUGGAAUUCCUGGUGUAGAGGUGAAAUUCGUAGAUAUCAGGAGGAACACCGGUGGCGAAGGCGACUUCCUGGACCAAUACUGACGCUGAGGUGCGAAGGCGUGGGUAGCAAACAGGAUUAGAUACCCGCGUAGUC
This 465-nucleotide ribosomal RNA is filed under the name uncultured bacterium. RNAcentral describes it as "partial 16S ribosomal RNA". It matches the Rfam family "Bacterial small subunit ribosomal RNA", at positions 339 to 795 of the family's 1533-position model. The record is from RNAcentral.